This 301-nucleotide ribosomal RNA is filed under the name uncultured bacterium. RNAcentral's name for it is "partial 16S ribosomal RNA". It matches the Rfam family "Bacterial small subunit ribosomal RNA", at positions 509 to 808 of the family's 1533-position model. The record is from RNAcentral.
CAGCAGCCACGGUAAUACGUGGGUGGCAAGCGUUGUCCGGAAUUAUUGGGCGUAAAGCGCGCGCAGGCGGUUUCUUAAGUCUGAUGUGAAAGCCCCCGGCUUAACCGGGGAGGGUCAUUGGAAACUGGGAGACUUAGAGUGCAGAAGAGGAGAGUGGAAUUCCAUGUGUAGCGGUGAAAUGCGUAGAUAUAUGGAGGAACACCAGUGGCGAAGGCGACUCUCUGGUCUGUAACUGACGCUGAGGCGCGAAAGCGUGGGGAGCAAACAGGAUUAGAUACCCGCGUAGUCCCUGUCUCUUAUA